This 413-nucleotide transfer-messenger RNA is filed under the name Burkholderiales. RNAcentral describes it as "Hydrogenophaga sp002127215 Standard tmRNA". It matches the Rfam family "transfer-messenger RNA". From Rfam's summary of the family: Bacterial tmRNA, also known as 10Sa RNA or SsrA, is named for its dual tRNA and mRNA-like properties. Its role is to liberate the mRNA from a stalled ribosome. Lineage: Bacteria; Pseudomonadati; Pseudomonadota; Betaproteobacteria. RNAcentral also lists the same sequence under 1 other name. The record is from RNAcentral.
GGGGCUGCACUGGUUUCGACGUGGGUUCGGACACGCAGCAGGGCAUGUCGAGGUUCUGUCACCUCGUAAAUCAGCAGAAAAAAACUAACUGCAAACGAAGCAGCAAACGAUUCCGUUUACACCAAGUACAAACUGGCGUAAGCGGAUCGUAUCCGGGGACUAACCUCUCCGGUCCUUGCAGCAGCUCGUCGAUGGGCUGUGCCGAGGGCCGCAAGGCCUGAAGCCGCAAGGUCAUUCACAUCGACUGGACUUGCAUCGUGCUCCUUGAUGCAGGUCGAGAUCCAAGGGGGCUGGCCGAUUCCACAGCGUGCCGCUGUGCGGUGGAACCGGCGAGAUCAAACCAGACGGCUACACAUGUAGAACUGCGCGGAAAAGGCUUGCGGACGGGGGUUCGAAUCCCCCCAGCUCCACCA